RNAcentral lists this ribosomal RNA (359 nucleotides) under Sylvilagus floridanus (eastern cottontail). Its description in RNAcentral is "partial 12S ribosomal RNA". It matches the Rfam family "Bacterial small subunit ribosomal RNA", at positions 772 to 1290 of the family's 1533-position model. The record is from RNAcentral. Lineage: Eukaryota; Metazoa; Chordata; Mammalia; Lagomorpha; Leporidae.
CUGGGAUUAGAUACCCCACUAUGCUUAGCCCUAAACUUAAAUAAUUCCAUAACAAAAUUACUCGCCAGAGAACUACAAGCCAGAGCUUAAAACUCAAAGGACUUGGCGGUGCUUUAUACCCACCUAGAGGAGCCUGUUCUAUAAUCGAUAAACCCCGAUAAACCUUACCACUCUUUGCCAACUCAGCCUAUAUACCGCCAUCUUCAGCGAACCCUAAAAAGGAACAAAAGUAAGCUCAAUUAUCCCCAUAAAAACGUUAGGUCAAGGUGUAGCCUAUAGAGUGGAAAGUAAUGGGCUACAUUUUCUACUUCAGAACAUACGAAAGCCCUUAUGAAACCCUAAGAGCCCAAGGAGGAUUU